Molecule: ribosomal RNA, 498 nt
Filed under: uncultured bacterium
Lineage: Bacteria
Description: partial 16S ribosomal RNA
Rfam family: Bacterial small subunit ribosomal RNA
Source: RNAcentral
AUUGAACGCUGGCGGCAUGCCUUACACAUGCAAGUCGAACGGUAACAGGUCUUCGGAUGCUGACGAGUGGCAAACGGGUGAGUAAUACAUCGGAACGUGCCUAGUAGUGGGUGAUAACUACUCGAAAGAGUGGCUAAUACCGCAUGAGAUCUACGGAUGAAAGCAGGGGAUCGCAAGACCUUGUGCUACUAGAGCGGCCGAUGGCAGAUUAGGUAGUUGGUGGGAUAAAAGCUUACCAAGCCGACGAUCUGUAGCUGGUCUGAGAGGACGAUCAGCCACACUGGGACUGAGACACGGCCCAGACUCCUACGGGAGGCAGCAGUGGGGAAUUUUGGACAAUGGGCGCAAGCCUGAUCCAGCAAUGCCGCGUGCAGGAUGAAGGCCUUCGGGUUGUAAACUGCUUUUGUACGGAACGAAAAGCCCCGGGUUAAUACCCUGGGGUCAUGACGGUACCGUUAGAAUAAGCACCGGCUAACUACGUGCCAGCCGCCGCAGUAA